Molecule: non-coding RNA, 134 nt
Organism: Triticum aestivum (bread wheat)
Lineage: Eukaryota; Viridiplantae; Streptophyta; Magnoliopsida; Poales; Poaceae
Source: Rfam
AUACUACUCCCUCCAUCCCAAAAAGCUUGUCUUAGAUUUGUCUACAUUUGGAUGUAUGAAACACUAAAACUGUCUAGAUUCAUCCGUAUAUAGACAAAUCUAAGACAAACUUUUUGGGACGGAUGGAGUACUAA